RNAcentral lists this long non-coding RNA (778 nucleotides) under Gouania willdenowi (blunt-snouted clingfish). Its description in RNAcentral is "lncRNA (ENSGWIG00000008647.1)". Lineage: Eukaryota; Metazoa; Chordata; Actinopteri; Blenniiformes; Gobiesocidae. The record is from RNAcentral.
GCCGCCGCCCCCUCAUGGACUGUGUGACGGUCUGAUGUUCAUAUUCCUGAAAACAACAGUUCUGUCCCGUUGUCUUUGAAUCCACUGAUGUUUGUAGACAUUUGGAAACGGAUCCACUCUGAAUACCCAGAAUACGACUUCUGUUCAGCAGAUGAGACAGCUAAUGAAUUAAGAGACGCCCUUCUGGAAAUCAAGGAAUUGAUUUUGAGUUCACAGCGAGAUGCCCCGGCAGCCUUCUCAGUUAAUCGAGUUCGUUCAGGAGGCCGUGGCAGACCAGCCAUUGAUGUUUCAAGGCAGCAAAUACUGUUUUUGCUGAAACAAGGAUACACUGUCAAGCAAAUGGCUGGCAUGUUUGGUUGCUCCUCAUCGUUUCUUUACAAGAAAACAAAGCUGCUUGGAGUGUGUGUUCGAAGAGGACAUCUACCAGUGACAGACGAAGAGCUCAUCCAACACAUCACAAGACUUCAUGAGCUUUAUCCUAAUACAGGAAGUGAGAUGAUGAGAGGAUUCCUCCGAGCUGAGGGGCUGUUUAUUCCACGGCAUAGGGUACGAGACGCAUUGACCCAGAUAAAUCCUGGUGCAGCUGCACGCAGGUGGAGCAGUGCUGUGACCAGAAGGGUGUACCAUGUUCCCCAUCCCAAUAGUUUAUGGCACAUAGAUGGAAACAUGUGACUCAUAAGGUGGGGUUUGGUGGUCCAUGGAGCCAUUGAUGGACACUCUCGACUGAUCACAUACUUGAAUUGCAACACAAAUAAUCGCGCCUCCACUGUACUGACAC